RNAcentral lists this non-coding RNA (32 nucleotides) under Geobacter sulfurreducens PCA. Lineage: Bacteria; Pseudomonadati; Thermodesulfobacteriota; Desulfuromonadia; Geobacterales; Geobacteraceae. The record is from RNAcentral.
AUGAGGGCUGAAAACCCGGCAAUCGAACCCUG